CUUGAUGGCGUGGGAAGUGAAGGCAACAAGAUGCCUGGUCUUCUCUCCAAAGACCUUCAAGAUCUUUUGUGGAUUUCAGGGAAGAAAGAAUUCAGUGGGAGUCUGUAUCUGAUGCACUGAAGAGGAAUCACUAGAUGUUCAAGACGCUGUUGGGGUUGGUUCACACCGCUCCGAGAGGGUCCCCACCACCUGCAAGAACUUGGCAUGCCGUUCAUCAGUGCCUGCAACUGCUCCUUUGCUUCCCCACAGAAACUUGAGGUGGAACUCUGUGCGGAACAUGUCUAGGAAUUCUGAGAGAUGAGUUCUUCAUUACUACAUGUAGUACAGUCCAAUGGUGUCAGCAGUAAAUAACUAUCUUGUAUAUAAGGUGAGCCAAGGAAAAUAUAAAAACAUGAAGCAUGAAAGCUUAUGUGAUUGACAGACUCCAAGCCACUCAGGAAAAGCCUGACAAAAACAGCCUAAGCACCGGGGAACACUUGGUUUGAACAGACUGUAGUAUGAUUUCAAGCAUCCAGGCUACAGGAAAGUACAGUAUUCAGCAGAGGUACGAGGCUCUGAACCCCUGGAGAGUCAAAGGAAAGGUGUCACUGCUGCGUCAGGAUGACAUGGCUAGUUAUGUUGACUUUAGCCUCGUACUGAUUAAUCUUUGGUUUGCUUGAUUUAUAUUCUGUAAUGGUGCCAUGCAUGUAUGGUAGUUAAUGAUUUAUUUUGUUUGAAUCAAGUAAACUUUUAAAAUCACAGUAUUUUCAUUAUUAUGAGAAGCUUAGGAAUGGCGAUAAACUUAAUACUGUU
Molecule: long non-coding RNA, 792 nt
Organism: Eriocheir sinensis (Chinese mitten crab)
Lineage: Eukaryota; Metazoa; Arthropoda; Malacostraca; Decapoda; Varunidae
Exons: 3
Source: RefSeq, a predicted model, not a curated record